AGAGGGUGCGAGCGUUAAUCGGAAUGACUGGGCGUAAAGGGCGCGUAGGUGGUUAUAUAAGAGAGGUGUAAAAGUCCCGGGCUCAACCUGGGAAGGCCAUCUGAGACUGUAUAACUAGAGAGCAGUAGAGGUAAGGGGAAUUUCCGGUGUAGCGGUGAAAUGCGUAGAGAUCGGAAGGAACACCAGAGGCGAAGGCGCCUUACUGGACUGCAUCUGACACUGAGGCGCGAAAGCGUGGGUAGCAAACAGGGAUUAGAUACCCUGGUAGUCCACGCCGUAAACGAUGAGAACUAGCUGUUGGUUUCGUAAAGGAAUCAGUAGCGCAGCUAACGCGUUAAGUUCUCCGCCUGGGGAGUACGCCGCAAGGUUA
RNAcentral lists this ribosomal RNA (370 nucleotides) under uncultured organism. RNAcentral's name for it is "partial 16S ribosomal RNA". It matches the Rfam family "Bacterial small subunit ribosomal RNA", at positions 527 to 896 of the family's 1533-position model. The record is from RNAcentral.